AUGGAGGUGUUGCAGAUCUGGGACUUUCUGCUCAGGAUCCUCAAUCAGGAAGUCCUGGAGAGUUGCUCCAAGUUGAAGAUUGUCAACAAAUUGAGUCUCCCUGCAUCCCUAGUGGGCAUCAGCUCGGGCAUGUGUAAUUCAUUCAUUGCUGGUUCAGCCUAGAUGAGCAGCUACUAAGGAGUCCAGCAAGCAAGCAUUGCAUGCCACAUUCUCUCAGCCACUUCUUCAGUAGAGUUUUCUGGGUCCUGAUCUGUACAGAGGGACAGGCAAUGGGCAGGUUGUUCCUACAGUACCUGAGGAUGCUGGACAAAGAGAUCAUCCCCAUGGAUUUCUAUGGGGUUGCGAUAUACGUCCAGCCAUUACUUAUGUUCUCAUUUGCAUUUUUAUAUGGAGAAUUUUUCAAUUUAUUGCAAGCAGGCUUUAUGUAGUAAAAAAGAAAAAGCUUGCUGUAGAACACUCUGGACUAAUAAAAGAAAAUUGUGAUCUACUUGACAAACCUAACUUUCUAGAAAAAGAGGCAACCAAUGAACAGCUGAAGAUUUGCAAAUCUAAGCUGGACGAUAAAGUUCUUUCCGUUGAAAAACAAUUUGAACAAGAAUUGGAAAAAUGUGAUCGACCUGAAUUGGUGGCAAAGAUUUUACCAGCGUUACAGGC
Ochotona curzoniae (black-lipped pika) is the source of this 654-nucleotide long non-coding RNA. RefSeq lists it as uncharacterized. Lineage: Eukaryota; Metazoa; Chordata; Mammalia; Lagomorpha; Ochotonidae. The transcript is spliced from 7 exons. The record is from RefSeq and is a predicted model, not a curated record.